RNAcentral lists this ribosomal RNA (503 nucleotides) under uncultured Glomus. RNAcentral's name for it is "SSU rRNA". It matches the Rfam family "Eukaryotic small subunit ribosomal RNA", at positions 569 to 1077 of the family's 1831-position model. The record is from RNAcentral. Lineage: Eukaryota; Fungi; Glomeromycota; Glomeromycetes; Glomerales; Glomeraceae.
AGCAGCCGCGGUAAUUCCAGCUCCAAUAGCGUAUAUUAAAGUUGUUGCAGUUAAAAAGCUCGUAGUUGAAUUUCGGGAUCAAUAUAUUGGUCAUGCUUAGGUAUGUACUGGUAUUAUUGAUUUCUCCCUUCUGAAGAACCAUGAUGUCAUUAAUUUGAUGUCGUGGGGAAUCAGGACUGUUACUUUGAAAAAAUUAGAGUGUUUAAAGCAGGCUUUCGCUUGAAUACAUUAGCAUGGAAUAAUGAAAUAGGACGUUUGAUUCUAUUUUGUUGGUUUCUAGGAUCGACGUAAUGAUUAAUAGGGAUAGUUGGGGGCAUUAGUAUUCAAUUGUCAGAGGUGAAAUUCUUGGAUUUAUUGAAGACUAACUACUGCGAAAGCAUUUGCCAAGGAUGUUUUCAUUAAUCAAGAACGAAAGUUAGGGGAUCGAAGACGAUCAGAUACCGUCGUAGUCUUAACCAUAAACUAUGCCGACUAGGGAUCGGAUGAUGCUAAUUUUUUAAUGA